GCCCAGGUAGCUCAGUGGUAGAGCACUUGCAUGGUAAGCAAGGGGUCGUAGGUUCAAUUCCUAUCUUGGGCAACA
RNAcentral lists this transfer RNA (75 nucleotides) under Chlamydiae bacterium CG10_big_fil_rev_8_21_14_0_10_42_34. RNAcentral describes it as "tRNA-Thr". It matches the Rfam family "tRNA". Rfam says of the family: Transfer RNA (tRNA) molecules are approximately 80 nucleotides in length. Lineage: Bacteria; Pseudomonadati; Chlamydiota. The record is from RNAcentral.